AAACCAUGGUUGGGGCAUUUUCUUAGCAUGGAUUUGAAUCUGUCCCAUGCUUCGUAGAGACUUUCCCCCGUAGGUUGGAUGAAAGUGGAGAUAGCAGUUUUUAAGUCC
Molecule: small nucleolar RNA, 108 nt
Organism: Lupinus angustifolius (narrow-leaved blue lupine)
Lineage: Eukaryota; Viridiplantae; Streptophyta; Magnoliopsida; Fabales; Fabaceae
Rfam family: Plant small nucleolar RNA R71
About the family: R71 is a member of the C/D box family of snoRNAs containing the C (UGAUGA) and D (CUGA) box motifs. Multiple nearly identical copies of this snoRNA have been identified in Arabidopsis, and it is thought to function as a 2'-O-ribose methylation guide for 18S ribosomal RNA.
Source: Rfam